RNAcentral lists this unclassified non-coding RNA (394 nucleotides) under soil metagenome. RNAcentral describes it as "partial contains 5.8S ribosomal RNA, internal transcribed spacer 2, and large subunit ribosomal RNA". The stretch from base 1 to 122 matches the Rfam family "5.8S ribosomal RNA", at positions 35 to 154 of the family's 154-position model. The record is from RNAcentral.
GAUGAAGAACGUAGCGAAAUGCGAUACUUGGUGUGAAUUGCAGAAUCCCGUGAACCAUCGAGUCUUUGAACGCAAGUUGCGCCCGAAGCCAUCAGGUUGAGGGCACGUCUGCCUGGGCGUCACAUAUCGUUGCCCAGUGCCUAUUGCAGUGCAAUAGGAAUUUCUAGGGCGAAUGAUGGCUUCCCGUGAGCGUUGUUGCCUCGCGGUUGGUUGAAAAUCGAGUCCUUGGUAGGGUGUGCCAUGGUAGAUGGUGGUCGAGUUAGAACGAUACCGAUCAUGUGCAUGCUCCCCAAAAUAUGGCCUCUAUGACCCACACGCGUCUUUUGACGCUCAUGACGAGACCUCAGGUCAGGCGGGGCUACCCGCUGAAUUUAAGCAUAUCAAUAACGGAGGA